Molecule: small RNA, 79 nt
Filed under: Methylobacterium sp. 275MFSha3.1
Lineage: Bacteria; Pseudomonadati; Pseudomonadota; Alphaproteobacteria; Hyphomicrobiales; Methylobacteriaceae
Also listed under: 4 other names
Description: suhB
Rfam family: Makes More Granules Regulator RNA (mmgR)
About the family: SuhB later renamed mmgR (makes more granules regulator) was a putative non-coding RNA found multiple times in the Agrobacterium tumefaciens genome and related alpha-proteobacteria. Other non-coding RNAs uncovered in the same analysis include: speF, ybhL, metA, and serC.
Source: RNAcentral
UGUUCGCGCCCAUGGCGGGCGUUUCCUCCCUUCGACUUGAGGCCCUGUCCGAUCCGGACGGGGCCUUCUUAUGUGCGGA